CCUACGGGAGGCAGCAGUGGGGAAUCUUGCGCAAUGGGCGAAAGCCUGACGCAGCCAUGCCGCGUGAAUGAUGAAGGUCUUAGGAUUGUAAAAUUCUUUCACCGGGGACGAUAAUGACGGUACCCGGAGAAGAAGCCCCGGCUAACUUCGUGCCAGCAGCCGCGGUAAUACGAAGGGGGCUAGCGUUGCUCGGAAUUACUGGGCGUAAAGGGAGCGUAGGCGGAUAGUUUAGUCAGAGGUGAAAGCCCAGGGCUCAACCUUGGAAUUGCCUUUGAUACUGGCUAUCUUGAGUUUGGGAGGGGUGAGUGGAACUCCGAGUGUAGAGGUGAAAUUCGUAGAUAUUCGGAAGAACACCAGUGGCGAAGGCGACUCACUGGCCCAAUACUGACGCUGAGGCUCGAAAGCGUGGGGAGCAAACAGGAUUAGAUACCCUGGUAGUCCACGCCGUAAACGAUGAGUGCUAGUUGUCGGCAUGCAUGCAUGUCGGUGACGCAGCUAACGCAUUAAGCACUCCGCCUGGGGAGUACGGUCGCAAGAUUAAAACUCAAAUGAAUUGACGG
RNAcentral lists this ribosomal RNA (560 nucleotides) under uncultured bacterium. RNAcentral's name for it is "bacterial SSU rRNA". It matches the Rfam family "Bacterial small subunit ribosomal RNA", at positions 338 to 916 of the family's 1533-position model. The record is from RNAcentral.